UUAAUUGAAUGAUGAUUAUUAUAUCGCCCCAGUCUGAACAGAUGUUGAUUGAUUUUUCUGAUUUUAA
RNAcentral lists this small nucleolar RNA (67 nucleotides) under Heliconius melpomene (postman butterfly). Lineage: Eukaryota; Metazoa; Arthropoda; Insecta; Lepidoptera; Nymphalidae. The record is from RNAcentral.